GUAAAGAGAAUUUAGGGGCUACACUUUC
RNAcentral lists this non-coding RNA (28 nucleotides) under Homo sapiens (human). Lineage: Eukaryota; Metazoa; Chordata; Mammalia; Primates; Hominidae. The record is from RNAcentral.